Molecule: ribosomal RNA, 458 nt
Filed under: uncultured bacterium
Lineage: Bacteria
Description: bacterial SSU rRNA
Rfam family: Bacterial small subunit ribosomal RNA
Source: RNAcentral
GAGUUUGAUCAUGGCUCAGGACAAACGCUGGCGGGGUGCAUGAGACAUGCAAGUCGAACGGGGUUGAGCGGGCUUGCUCGAUCAACCUAGUGGCGGACGGCUGAGUAACGCGUAGGUGACCUACCCGGAAGUGGGGAAUAACUGCCCGAAAGGGUGGCUAAUACCGCAUGUGGUCGGCGAUUCGGUUCGCCGUGCAAAGCCGCAAGGCGCUUCCGGAGGGGCCUGCGUCCGAUUAGCUAGUUGGUGGGGUAAUGGCUCACCAAGGCGACGAUCGGUAGCUGGUCUGAGAGGAUGAUCAGCCAGACUGGGACUGAGAACGGCCCAGACUCCUACGGGAGGCAGCAGUCGGGAAUUUUGCCCAAUGGACGAAAGUCUGAGGCAGCAACUCCGCGUGAGGGACGAAGGCCCUUCGGGUCGGUAAACCUCUUUCUUCUAGGGAGAAGUACAAGAACGGUACC